GAUGAACGCUAGCGGGAGGCCUAACACAUGCAAGCCGAGCGGUAGAGUUUCUUCGGAAACUUGAGAGCGGCGCACGGGUGCGUAACACGUGUGCAACCUACCUUUAUCUGGGGGAUAGCCUUUCGAAAGGAAGAUUAAUACCCCAUAAUAUAAUGAUUGGCAUCAAUUAUUAUUGAAAACUCCGGUGGAUAGAGAUGGACACGCGCAAGAUUAGAUAGUUGGUGAGGUAACGGCUCACCAAGUCAAUGAUCUUUAGGGGUCCUGAGAGGGAGAUCCCCCACACUGGUACUGAGACACGGACCAGACUCCUACGGGAGGCAGCAGUGAGGAAUAUUGGGCAAUGGGUGAGAGCCUGAUCCAGCCAUCCCGCGUGAAGGAUGACGGUCCUAUGGAUUGUAAACUUCUUUUGUACAGGGAUAAACCUACCCUCGUGAGGGUAGCUGAAGGUACUGUACGAAUAAGCACCGGCUAACUCCGUG
RNAcentral lists this ribosomal RNA (479 nucleotides) under uncultured bacterium. RNAcentral describes it as "partial 16S ribosomal RNA". It matches the Rfam family "Bacterial small subunit ribosomal RNA", at positions 28 to 507 of the family's 1533-position model. The record is from RNAcentral.